GACGAACGCUGGCGGCGUGCUUAACACAUGCAAGUCGAACGGAAAGGCCUUCUUUCCCUUGUGGUUUGCGGGUACUCGAGUGGCUAACGGGUGAGUAACACGUGCUUGAUCUGCCCCCAACUUUGGUAUAAUCCUGGGAAACUGGGUCUAAUUCCCGUUAUGACUGCAGGGUUGUGCCUUUUUUUGGAAACGAUUUUCUAUUGGUUGGGGUUGGGGUCGCGGCCUAUGAGCUGGGUGGUGGGGUAAUGGCCUACCAAGGCGGCGACGGGUAGCCGGCCUGAGAGGGUGGACGGACACAGUGGGACUGAGAUACGGGCCAGAGUCCUACGGGAGACAGCAGUGGGGAAUAGUGGACAAGGGGAGGAAGCAUGAUGCAGAGACGUGGCGUGGGGGAUGAGGGCCGUCGGGUUGGAAACUCCUGUCGAACGCGAGGAAGGCAAGUGGUGGGAAGGGUGGUGACGGUAGUGGGAGAAGAAGCACCGGCUAACUACGUG
RNAcentral lists this ribosomal RNA (494 nucleotides) under uncultured bacterium. RNAcentral describes it as "partial 16S ribosomal RNA". It matches the Rfam family "Bacterial small subunit ribosomal RNA", at positions 28 to 507 of the family's 1533-position model. The record is from RNAcentral.